This 1231-nucleotide ribosomal RNA is filed under the name metagenome. RNAcentral describes it as "bacterial LSU rRNA". It matches the Rfam family "Bacterial large subunit ribosomal RNA", at positions 1719 to 2925 of the family's 2925-position model. The record is from RNAcentral.
AAAAUGGCCCCGUAACUUCGGGAGAAGGGGCGCCCCGGUAAGGUGAAGGUCUUCGCGACCGGAGCCCGAGGGGGCCGCAGUGAAUUGGCCCAACCGACUGUUUACCAAAAACACAGGUCUCUGCUAAGUCGCAAGACGACGUAUAGGGGCUGACGCCUGCCCGGUGCCGGAAGGUUACGUGGAGGGGUUAGUUGUCUUCGGACAACGAAGCUCUGAAACUAAGCCCCGGUAAACGGCGGCGGUAACUAUAACCGUCCUAAGGUAGCGAAAUUCCUUGUCGGGUAAGUUCCGACCUGCACGAAUGGCUUAACGAGUUGGGCGCUGUCUCAACGAUGGGCUCGGUGAAAUCGCAGUCUCGGUGAAGAUGCCGAGUACCCGCGGCAAGACGGAAAGACCCCGUGAACCUUUACUACAGCUUGAUAUUGGAGUCUGAGGCACCUCGCUCAGGAUAGGUGGGAGGCUGUGAAGCCAGGACUGCGGUUCUGGUGGAGCCACCCUUGAGAUACCACCCUUGGUGUCUCGGGCUUCUAACAUCGCACCGUGAAACCGGUCGGUGAACAGUGUCAGGUGGGUAGUUUGACUGGGGCGGUCGCCUCCCAAAAUGUAACGGAGGCGCGCAAAGGUUCCCUCAGCACGGUUGGAAAUCGUGCGUAGAGUGCAAAAGCAAUAAGGGAGCUUGACUGCGAGACAGACAUGUCGAGCAGGUGCGAAAGCAGGCUUUAGUGAUCCGGCGGUAGCAAGUGGAAGCGCCGUCGCUCAACGGAUAAAAGGUACUCCGGGGAUAACAGGCUUAUCGGGCCCAAGAGUCCACAUCGACGGCCCGGUUUGGCACCUCGAUGUCGGCUCGUCGCAUCCUGGGGCUGUAGUCGGUCCCAAGGGUUGGGCUGUUCGCCCAUUAAAGCGGUACGCGAGCUGGGUUCAGAACGUCGUGAGACAGUUCGGUCCCUAUCUGCCGUGGGCGUUGGAGAGUUGAGGGGAGUCGUCCCUAGUACGAGAGGACCGGGAUGAACGCACCUCUGGUGUACCAGUUGUCCUGCCAAGGGCACUGCUGGUUAGCUACGUGCGGAUCGGAUAACCGCUGAAGGCAUCUAAGCGGGAAGCCGACCUCGAGAUGAGCUCUCCCAUCCCCUUGAGGGAGUAAGACCCCUGGUAGACCACCAGGUGAUAGGCCGGAUGUGUAAACGCAGCAAUGCGCUCAGCAGACCGGUACUAAUGGUUCGAGGGCUUGACU